RNAcentral lists this ribosomal RNA (253 nucleotides) under uncultured bacterium. RNAcentral describes it as "partial 16S ribosomal RNA". It matches the Rfam family "Bacterial small subunit ribosomal RNA", at positions 524 to 776 of the family's 1533-position model. The record is from RNAcentral.
UACGUAGGCAGCAAGCGUUGUUCGGAGUUACUGGGCGUAAAGGGUGUGUAGGCGGUUCUCUAAGUUUGGUGUGAAAUCUCCCGGCUUAACUGGGAGGGUGCAGCGGAAACUAGAAUGCUAGAGGGUGGGAGAGGUAAGCGGAAUUCCUGGUGUAGCGGUGAAAUGCGUAGAUAUCAGGAGGAACACCUGUGGUGUAGACAGCUUACUGGACCACUUCUGACGCUGAGACACGAAAGCGUGGGUAGCAAACAGG